This 253-nucleotide ribosomal RNA is filed under the name uncultured bacterium. RNAcentral's name for it is "partial 16S ribosomal RNA". It matches the Rfam family "Bacterial small subunit ribosomal RNA", at positions 524 to 776 of the family's 1533-position model. The record is from RNAcentral.
UACAGAGGGGGCAAGCGUUGUUCGGAAUUACUGGGCGUAAAGGGCGCGUAGGCGGCCUGUUAAGUCGAACGUGAAAUCCCUGGGCUCAACCCAGGAACUGCGUCCGAUACUGGGAGGCUCGAAUCCGGGAGAGGGAUGUGGAAUUCCAGGUGUAGCGGUGAAAUGCGUAGAUAUCUGGAGGAACACCGGUGGCGAAGGCGGCAUCCUGGACCGGUAUUGACGCUGAGGCGCGAAAGCCAGGGGAGCAAACGGG